This is a non-coding RNA of Paramuricea clavata, 77 nucleotides long. The record is from the annotation of a GenBank genome assembly. NCBI's taxonomy places the organism in Eukaryota, Metazoa, Cnidaria, Anthozoa, Malacalcyonacea, Plexauridae.
UACUCUGUUGUUCAGUUGCAUGGUUAGAGCGCAGCACCGGAAUCGCAGGGCCGUAGGUUCAAUUCCUACCAGAGGAC